AAACGUUUGAUUAAUGUAUUCAUUAUCCAGGUGGCAAUUGCGUCAUUACCACUUAGAAAUGCUAACUAGGUAACGUGAUUUAAGUAUAGCUACCUCUGGUAAAAAAAAAAAACCUAUUGAUUGCAAGCUUGCUAUUUAGCAGGGAUAAUGCUAUUAGACACCCCACCCGCAGUUCCUGGUUAUAAGUUACACUGUAACUUACAGACAGUCCGUGUUACCCGCGUAGCAGCUACGUAGGCGCGCUCGCGCUCGUUUUGACGAGAGCCGUUGGAAACUUUUGAUGGGCUAAUUAGCGGGAAGCAGGAGAGUGAAAUCGAUCAAUAUUAGCGUGGAUAUUCUGCGCUGAUGCGUCAGGGGGUCGGAGAGUAAUUUCGUCAUAGAAACGGGGGGGAGAAAAUCCCGUACCGUCACUCAGGAUCUCGAGAACAGGGUGGAAUUUUCCGCAAGGCCGUUCUACAGAAAGCAGUGGAAUGCUGACAGGAUGGAACACGUUCUCUGAGCUCUCCGUGUUCUAGAAUCUCACCAGUGGAAUCCUGUGCUGCCAUUCCUUGCCAGUCAUGAACUGAGGGUCUGAACUAUCCCCCCUGGGUGACACUGAGAUCGAGUCCAAGUCCUGGAGAGCCUCAGUUGUCUGCCGGUGUCCCUAGUCCUGGUCCUGGAGAGACGCAGGGUCUGCUGAGAUCCCCAACCCUGGUCCUGGAGAGCCUUGGUGUCUGCUGGGGUCCCCAGCCUUGAUCCUGGAGAGCCUCAGGGUCUGCUGAGGUCGCCAUCCCUGGUCCUGGAGAGCCUCAGGGUCUGCUGGGGUCCCCAUCCCUGGUUCUGGAGAGCCUCAGGGUCUUCUGAGGCCCCCAUCCCUGGUUCUGGAGAGACGCAGGGUCUACUAGGGUCCCCAGCCCUGGUCUUGGAGAGACGCAGGGUCUGUGGGGGUCCCCACCCCUGGUUCUGGAGAGCUGUAGAGCACUGGGGUCUCCCUGGUUUCUGGAGAGUUGCUGGAUCUGAUGUUUUAUCUUUUUAUCACACAGCAUCAAAUAUAUCAACUAAAGCUGCUGGUUAAACUCAGAUUGACUCCUCUCACCAUGGUUUCUUGGGUCUGAGCUAGUUGCUGAUUUUAAAAGUGG
This is a long non-coding RNA of Anguilla rostrata (American eel), 1118 nucleotides long. RefSeq lists it as uncharacterized. The record is from RefSeq and is a predicted model, not a curated record. The transcript is spliced from 6 exons. NCBI's taxonomy places the organism in Eukaryota, Metazoa, Chordata, Actinopteri, Anguilliformes, Anguillidae.